GCCGGGCGGUGGUGGCGCACGCCUUUAAUCCCAGCACUUGGGAAGCAGAGGCAGGUUUAUUUCUGAGUUCAAGGCCAGCCUGGUCUACAAAGUGAGUUCCAGGACAGCCAGGACUAUACAGAGAAACCCUGUCUCGAAAAAAGAAGAAUGGCAGAAUUAAAAUUUAAUCAGCCUUACUUUGGUUUUGUUUUUUUGAGACAGGGUUUCUCUGUAUAGUCCUGGCUGUCCUGGAAUUCACUUUGUAGACCAAGCUGGCCUCGAACUCAGAAAUCCGCCUGUCU
This 281-nucleotide long non-coding RNA is filed under the name Mus musculus (house mouse). RNAcentral's name for it is "long non-coding RNA chr8:72239201-72239482". The record is from RNAcentral. Lineage: Eukaryota; Metazoa; Chordata; Mammalia; Rodentia; Muridae.